AGAUGAGGGAACUGAGUCACAGAGAAGUGAAGAGACUCGCCCGAGGUCCACCCAGCAGACAAGUGGCAGAGCCGGGAUUAGAACCCGUGACCUCCUGACCCCCAGGCCCGUGCUCGGUCCACUGAGCCACGCUGCUUCCCUCUACAAGCAAAUGGGGUUGGACACAGUCCCCUGUCCCACGUGGGGCUCUCAGUCCCCAUUCAUUCAUUCAUUCAUUCAUUCAAUCGGUCGUAUUUAUUGAGCGCUUACUAUGUGCGGAGCCCUGUACCGAGCUCUUGGUAGAGGCCAGUGCGACAAUAAGCAGCCACAGUCCCUGCCCGCAACGACCUUACAGUCUCUAUCAUUUUUCAGAUGAGGGAACCCGAGGCCCAGGGAACUGAAGCGACUUGCCCGGGGUCGCCCGGCGGCCAAGCGGCAGAGCCGGGAUUAGAACCCACGACCUUCUGACCCCCCCCCCCCCCCCCCCCCCCCCAGGCCGUUACGGCGACUCCGAUUAUGACGGUUUGGGUUUCUGUUCGGCAGGAAGGCGGCGUCAGCGGAUUUCUCCACGCCUUCAUCGCGGAAGUGUUCGCCAUGGUGCGGGCCCACGUGGCCGCGCUGGGGGGCAACGCCGUGGUCUCCUACAUCAUGAAGCAGUGCGUCUUCAUGGAGAAUCCAAACAAGAACCAGGCCCAGUGCCUCAUCAACGUCAGCGGGGACGCCGUCAUCUUCGUCCGCGAAUCCGAAUCGGAGACGGCGCCGGCCACCGGCUACCAGCCCGCUCCGGCCACCCCGGCGGCCACCCCGGCCCCCGUCACCGCCUGAGCCGCGCGCCGGACGGUCCCGGAGCCCACCCCCUCCUCCUCCUUCGGAUCCCGCGGUCAUUCGUCGGGUCGCACGUCCGGGACCUCGGGGGGGGGGGGGGGGGGGGGGGCAGACGGACACCCGGAAGGGCUCCGGCCGACGAGAGGUGCCCUCGGCCCGUCGAAAUCCAGCCGGGAGCCGGGGGCGGGGGAUCCGGGCCUGGCGGACACCCGCCCGGACGGCGGGAGCGUCAAGCCAGUCUCGGCCGCUGACGACGACGCUCCGGAAGGAGGGAGGGCGAUGGGAGCGGGCUCCGCAUUUUUCCAAAUAAGUAAAUCACCAAGCAGGUCAUUUACCUAACCGGUGAUCGACCAAAUAAGACGGGAAGCCAACCCGAGAAGCCCCGGCCCGGCUGCCCCGAGGCCACGGAGGGCAGAGCGUCCGACACGGCGACGGGGUUCUCUCUCUUCGGAGCGGGAAGCCGGAGAGACGGUUCUGGGAAGCUGGGGAGCCAAACCCGAAAAGCUCCUAGUCGACUGAGCAAUCUGGUGACCGCCGAAAGGGGAAGCAGUUUCUUUACAAGCCUUUGUUGUUGUAUUUUAACUUUCGAAACGCUUGAAAGUAUAAUAAUUGUUAGGCCAGGACUGUCGUGACGCAGAAGGGAGUUUACCGGUGUCAGUGCAUUUCGUUGUAAGCGUCUGUCAUUUUUGAGGGAAUGGAAAGGUUAAUUUAUGGCUUACUCCAGAAAUACAGAUAUUUUGUUCGGUCGGUCCUGGCUGGGUAAAUUGGAAAGCAAGAUAGGUUUCCUGUAGCAUUCCUUUCUAGCAGGCCAAGUCCAAUUCUGGGAAGAAAAAAAUAAUUGGAGAAAAUAGAGGCAGGGAGAAAAGCACAUUUCUAGCCAACUCUUCGACUUGGGUUAAUUAAAAUAAAAAGGAAAGAUGUAGAUCGGUUGUGGAUGGUGAGGUUUGGACCGCGCUGGAUGUGGAAUGUGGAAUACGAAACUUGAAUGUAAAUAUGCUGCAGCGUUGACUUAAGGCAUAGGAAUGAUUCGUUUCUGUCAAUGCCAAAUUCCCAAUGUAAAUGAUCGUCCCAAGGCACAUUCCUCUUUGCACAAUAAAAUUUCUUUAUGAAACUUCAGCUUUCGGUGGGACGCCUGCAGAAUCAACAGCUCGACGGUAAGGAUGUAUUAUCAGUAUGCAUUCAUUCAGUCGUAUAUAUUGAGCGCUUACUGUGUGCAGAGCACUGUACUAAGCGCUUGGAAAGUACAAUUUGGCAACGAACAGAGGCAGUCCCUACCCACCAGCGGCCUCACAGUCUAGAAGCGGGGAGACAGACAGGAAAAGAAAACAAGUAGACAGGCAUCCAUAGCAUCAGUAUAAAUAAAUAGAAUUAGAGGUAUAUACACAUCAUUAAUAAAAUCGAAUAAUAAAUAUAGACAUAGAUACACAAGAGCUGUGGGGCAAGAAGGGGAACAGAGCAGAGGGAGGGAGUCGGGGCGACGGGAAGGGGAGGAGGAGCGGAGGGAAAGGGGGGCUCGGGCGGGGAAGGCCUCCCGGAGGAGGUGAGCUCUCAGGAGGGCUUUGAAGAGGGGAAGAGAGGGAGUUGGGCGGAGGCGAGGAGGGAGGGCGUUCCGGGACGGCGGGAGGACGCGGGCCGGGGGUCGAC
RNAcentral lists this long non-coding RNA (2448 nucleotides) under Ornithorhynchus anatinus (platypus). RNAcentral's name for it is "lncRNA (ENSOANG00000047090.1)". Lineage: Eukaryota; Metazoa; Chordata; Mammalia; Monotremata; Ornithorhynchidae. The record is from RNAcentral.